This 306-nucleotide long non-coding RNA is filed under the name Vigna radiata. Its description in RNAcentral is "long non-coding RNA (VRAD_LNC008161)". Lineage: Eukaryota; Viridiplantae; Streptophyta; Magnoliopsida; Fabales; Fabaceae. The record is from RNAcentral.
GGCGCAAAUGGAGGUUUAACCGGUGGAAAUCGAAGAACAAAUGGUAGAAAGGCGAUUAUCAAUGGACUCGUGAGUGAUCUGUGUGGCUGCCAUGGGAGGGAGAAGCAGAAAUCGCAAGUGCUUUGUGAGGGAGAGGGAGAAAUUGCGAUUGCUAUGUGAGUGUUAGGGUUCGAGAGAGUGGUUUGCGAGUGUGCGAGCUCGAGAGAGGUUCAUAACGAGUGUGAAUACUGUUGAAGCUUCACUUAAUCAGAAAUUCUUUUUUUAAAAAACUUAUUUCUCAUCUGUAUAUAACAUCUGCAGCUAACA